GACGAACGCUGGCGGCGUGCCUAAUACAUGCAAGUCGAGCGAACAGACGAGGAGCUUGCUCCUCUGACGUUAGCGGCGGACGGGUGAGUAACACGUGGAUAACCUACCUAUAAGACUGGGAUAACUUCGGGAAACCGGAGCUAAUACCGGAUAAUAUAUUGAACCGCAUGGUUCAAUAGUGAAAGACGGUUUUGCUGUCACUUAUAGAUGGAUCCGCGCCGCAUUAGCUAGUUGGUAAGGUAACGGCUUACCAAGGCAACGAUGCGUAGCCGACCUGAGAGGGUGAUCGGCCACACUGGAACUGAGACACGGUCCAGACUCCUACGGGAGGCAGCAGUAGGGAAUCUUCCGCAAUGGGCGAAAGCCUGACGGAGCAACGCCGCGUGAGUGAUGAAGGUCUUCGGAUCGUAAAACUCUGUUAUUAGGGAAGAACAAAUGUGUAAGUAACUAUGCACGUCUUGACGGUACCUAAUCAGAAAGCCACGGCUAACUACGUG
This 497-nucleotide ribosomal RNA is filed under the name uncultured bacterium. RNAcentral describes it as "partial 16S ribosomal RNA". It matches the Rfam family "Bacterial small subunit ribosomal RNA", at positions 28 to 507 of the family's 1533-position model. The record is from RNAcentral.